Molecule: ribosomal RNA, 440 nt
Filed under: uncultured bacterium
Lineage: Bacteria
Description: partial 16S ribosomal RNA
Rfam family: Bacterial small subunit ribosomal RNA
Source: RNAcentral
CCUACGGGAGGCAGCAGUGGGGAAUAUUGCACAAUGGGGGAAACCCUGAUGCAGCGACGCCGCGUGAGUGAAGAAGUAUUUCGGUAUGUAAAGCUCUAUCAGCAGGGAAGAAAAUGACGGUACCUGAUUAAGAAGCCCCGGCUAACUACGUGCCAGCAGCCGCGGUAAUACGUAGGGGGCAAGCGUUAUCCGGAUUUACUGGGUGUAAAGGGAGCGUAGACGGUGAUGCAAGUCAGAAGUGAAAGCCCGGGGCUCAACUCCGGGACUGCUUUUGAAACUGUGUGACUGGAGUGCAGGAGAGGUAAGCGGAAUUCCUGGUGUAGCGGUGAAAUGCGUAGAUAUCAGGAGGAACACCAGUGGCGAAGGCGGCUUACUGGACUGUAACUGACGUUGAGGCUCGAAAGCGUGGGGAGCAAACAGGAUUAGAUACCCCAGUAGUC